Molecule: non-coding RNA, 278 nt
Organism: Glarea lozoyensis 74030
Lineage: Eukaryota; Fungi; Ascomycota; Leotiomycetes; Helotiales; Helotiaceae
Rfam family: Fungal signal recognition particle RNA
Source: Rfam
UGGCUGUAAUGGUCGCAAUCUAAGGAAGAUAUCAACAUCCCGAUUUCUUUCUACCAUGGAGUUCGCAAGAACACUGCCAACAGUGCCCAGUUCGAACAUGGCGGUGGAUGUCCACUCGUGUAGGUAACUCACGAUGCUGCGAUGUCCUUAAGCAAUGAAGAAUAUUUCAUGAGGGAGGUUUCACUCUGCAGUGAGCUCUUCACCGUGGUGUGGCGGUAUUGGAUUACACUUGUUGUGUGGUUUGGUAGAGGAGGUUGGGUUGAGCGUCAACCUUGGUU